Collybia nuda is the source of this 85-nucleotide non-coding RNA. The record is from the annotation of a GenBank genome assembly. Lineage: Eukaryota; Fungi; Basidiomycota; Agaricomycetes; Agaricales; Clitocybaceae.
GGGUCGAUGGCGUAGCUGGUUAUCGCAUCUGUCUAACACCUCAUGUGCGCACAGAAGGUCCUCAGUUCGAACCUGGGUCGACUCA